ACUCAAAUGAAUAGACGGGGACUCGCACAAGCGGUGGAUUAUGCGGCUUAAUUCGUCGGCAAACGAAGAACCUUACCAAGGUUAGAAAUCCAGCUGCAUCCUUGCCGAAAGGUGAGGAGCCUUCGAGGGUGCUGGACAGGUGAUGCAUGGUCGUCGUCAGUUCGUGGUUUGAACUGUUCCCUUCAGUGGGGUAACGAACGCAACCCACGUUGUCUGUUGCCUACGGGCCAGGCGAGACUGCUCCCUCACGGGAGAGGAAGGUGUGGAUGACGCCAGAUCAGCAUGUCCCUCUGAUACCUUGGGCUGCACGCAUAAUACAAUGGUAGGCCUACAACGAGAUGCAAUACGGUAACGUGGAGCGAAUCUUUAAAACCUACCCCAGUACGGAUUGAGGUCUGCAACCGACCUCAUGAAGCCGGAAUCGCUAGUAAUCGCGGGUCAGCUAAACCGCGGUGAAUACGUUCUCGAGUCUUGUACACACCGCCCGU
Molecule: ribosomal RNA, 488 nt
Filed under: uncultured bacterium
Lineage: Bacteria
Description: partial 16S ribosomal RNA
Rfam family: Bacterial small subunit ribosomal RNA
Source: RNAcentral